GUAGCUAAUACCGGAUAACAACAGAUGAUGCCUAUCAACUGUUUAAAGAAUGGUUCUGCUAUCACUCUUGGAUGGACCUGCGGUGCAUUAGCUAGUUGGUAGGGUAACGGCCUACCAAGGCGAUGAUGCAUAGCCGAGUUGAGAGACUGAUCGGCCACAUUGGGACUGAGACACGGCCCAAACUCCUACGGGAGGCAGCAGCC
Molecule: ribosomal RNA, 203 nt
Filed under: uncultured Lactobacillus sp.
Lineage: Bacteria; Bacillati; Bacillota; Bacilli; Lactobacillales; Lactobacillaceae
Description: partial 16S ribosomal RNA
Rfam family: Bacterial small subunit ribosomal RNA
Source: RNAcentral